Molecule: unclassified non-coding RNA, 323 nt
Filed under: uncultured delta proteobacterium
Lineage: Bacteria; Deltaproteobacteria
Description: contains 16S-23S intergenic spacer region
Rfam family: Bacterial small subunit ribosomal RNA
Source: RNAcentral
GGGAAGUACGAUCGCAAGAUUGAAACUCAAAGGAAUUGACGGGGGCCCGCACAAGCGGUGGAGCAUGUGGUUCAAUUCGACGCAACGCGAAGAACCUUACCUGGGCUAGACAACGGCGGACCAUCCUAGAAAUAGGAUUUUCCCUUCGGGGACUGCCGGUUCAGGUGCUGCAUGGCUGUCGUCAGCUCGUGCCGUGAGGUGUUGGGUUAAGUCCCGCAACGAGCGCAACCCUUGCCUUUAGUUGCCACCAUUCAGUUGGGCACUCUAGGGGGACUGCCGGCGUUAAGCCGGAGGAAGGUGGGGAUGACGUUGACGUCAUAACC